AGAUGCCCACUCACUUCCACCAGGGGAAAGCCUGCCUGAGAAUGAAGCCAACUGAGAAGAGGAAAAGAAGAUGGAGUCCUAAUGGCACAUUUAGAUCCAGCCCCCAUAAAGCCAGUUCCACUCCUAAGUGUCUCAGUUACUUGAGGCAAUAUAGAUUCCCUUUUCCCCUUCUUGUUGGAUUUCUGAUUCCUUUUUCUCCUUCUUGUUGGAUUUCUGAUGUGUUCAUCUCUGAAUCUUGACUGACAUAAACUUCUGAUGCUAACGUUUGAGAAUCUACGAAGAUUAACCAAUCGUGCCCACGUGGAAAACUACAUGAAUUAAGAAAGCAUAAGCCAUGAGGUACAAGGAAAUGCAAGUUCAUGGAAAUUAGAAAUAAUACCAAAAUGUGAAUAAGACCGGGUUUAGAGGUCGCAUGGAAUCUGCUGAAUAUGGUUGUCUGGAGUGAUUUUUUGGCCUUCUCAGUUUGCCAAGACAGUGUACCAGGAGGCACCGUGUUCAUUGUGGCAUUACAAAGAUAAAGGCACA
Molecule: non-coding RNA, 525 nt
Filed under: Pongo abelii (Sumatran orangutan)
Lineage: Eukaryota; Metazoa; Chordata; Mammalia; Primates; Hominidae
Source: RNAcentral